This 461-nucleotide ribosomal RNA is filed under the name uncultured bacterium. RNAcentral describes it as "bacterial SSU rRNA". It matches the Rfam family "Bacterial small subunit ribosomal RNA", at positions 340 to 789 of the family's 1533-position model. The record is from RNAcentral.
UACGGAAGGCAGCAGUGGGGAAUAUUGCACAAUGGGCGAAAGCCUGAUGCAGCUAUGCCGCGUGUAUGAAGAAGGCCCUUAGGGUUGUAAAGUACUUUCAUCGGGGAGGAAAAAACAAAACUAAUAAUUUUAUUUCUUGACGUUACCCGAAAAAGAAGCACCGGCUAACUCCGUGCCAGCAGCCGCGGUAAUACGGAGGGUGCUAGCGUUAAUCAGAAUUACUGGGCGUAAAGAGCACGUAGGUGGUUUUUUUAAAGUCAGAUGUGAAAUCCCUGGGCUUAACCUAGGAACUGCAUUUUGAAACUGAAAUACUAGAGUAUCGUAGAGGGAGGUAGAAUUCUAGGUGUAGCGGUGAAAUGCGUAGAUAUCUGGAGGAAUACCUGUGGCGAAAGCGGCCUCCUAAACGAAUACUGACACUGAGGUGCGAAAGCGUGGGGAGCAAACAGGGAUUAGAUACCCGU